AAGAAGACAUAAAAGGACGCAGCACUCACCCCUGCUGCUGCUGUCCUCUUGCUCUUCCUAUGGUUUAUGCUGCGUGCAGGACAUCUCUUCUCUAUACCUUCUCUUUUUCCUUCAAAGCUCCCUUUUCUCCCUGAGCACUUUUGUACUUUCCUUUUUUUAAACAACAGAAAAACAUUUCUGUCCUAAAAUAAUUGGUAACCUUUCACAUCCGUCAAAUUUCUUGACCAAUUCAUAGCAGGGGACAAAUAGCCUGGAAGACACUGCUGGUCUCUAGCCCAUUCGAUAGCAAGCAGACACCCUCUGACUGAGGACUGUGAGCCCUGCACGCACCAAGAUAGUCCCUCGGCAUCACCAAGGCUGUAGGGCUCGGUCUAUGAGAUGGGCUUAAAAGCAGUGUGCAGCCUGGGGUGAAGACCACUUGGGAGGGAGAAGGGGGGGGGAGGAAGAAAAUGGGGGGGGUGGGUAAAUGGGAGGGAAGAAGGGGAGCGCUCACGCUGAGUCCAUGCUUGUCCCGCACUCUGCUCUUCACAGUGGCCCCCUUUGGCCCCCCAGCACCCAUGAAGUUGUCCCCCCAAAGUGUAAUUCAACAGGAGCCCCCUUGGCAAAACUCAGCAGUCCUGUGGCUAAACACUGUAUCCCAUUCGCUCUGUGCUCUCAGCACGCACCCUGCCUUCACCCCUUCCUGGAGUCCUUCCCUCCCUUGGCCUGGGCUUGGGGGCAGGGAGGGGUCAGGAUUAUGUGCCUGGUCUUUCCCAGAAACCAUUUGAUAAUUUUUUUACAGCUGAGAUAUUUUUGAGCAGGUUUUGAUUUUUAUUAGAUCUUUUUGAUAACAAAAAAUAGGUGUUUCUUAUAACAAAUGAAACAAUGUAACUAUAAAUGAAAAACAAUAGUUCUUCCCCCAAUCCUGCCUCACAUGAUUAACAAUGGCCUGGUUAUUCCUUCAGUCAUUCAAAUAUAUAUGUAAUAUCACUACAUAUAUAUAUGUAGUGUGAUCACAAUAUAUGGCAUGUGUUUUGGAUACACAAGCUUAAAUAUCACAUAGUUACUCUUAUAUGAGAAACCCAAAACAUACAGAACAAUAUGAUAGGAGGGAGAUAGAUGUUCUGCAAAUGAGAAGGGGGACCAAGCAAUGUGAGGAGGGAAGAUUAAAAAAAAAAUUAAGAUGUGUUGUGUACGUGUCCCAACUCUACGUGGGGAAUGUGACCAUUAGGUACUGCAAACAUGUAUUAGUAAAAGGUUAAAAAACACUUACAGAAAAAUACCACCCCCCAGCUUUGAACACUUAUCAUUCUUGCCACUUUCUGAAGUGGUUCUGGAAGUCCUCUUUCCCGAGUGACUUUAUCAGGUGUGAUUAAAAAAAAAUAGUGUGGGGCCGGGGAUUUAGCUCAGUGGUUCCAGCUCCUGCUUUGCAAGUACAAGGUCAUGAGUUUGAUCCCCAGUGCCCCCCCAAAAAACUCAAUGAAUGCUGGUGCUGAAUGCUAUCCAACAGAAAGAUAGGCUCACAAAAAAUACAUUAUGCUGUGUCCUCACCCAUCUUCUUCACUAGAUCUGGCACUGUGCAGCUUCUGGCUCUUUUCUAAAGUCAAAAUGACCAUGAAAGGAAAACGUUUUGAAAAAGAUUCAGGAUGUGGAAGCAGCCACAACAGCCAACUAAAGACACCCAGGAAAGAGGACUUCAGACCUGCUUCAGAACAGUAGGACAAGUGUGUUUGAAGCAAAGUGACAUAUUGUGAGGGGGAUUAAUAGCAAUAUGUCUUUGCUGUAAUGCUUUUUAAAAUUUGCAUAUUAGCCACAUUUUUUGAUCACACUGCAUGUACUUUUUUGGUACCAGGGAUUGAACUUGGGACCUUUUGAGGCAGGCAACGGCACCACUGAGCUAAGUCCCCAGCCCCACACUGCACAUCUUAAAGCUAACGUUUUCUUUUAAUGUCAUGGAAUUUAGUAUAGAUGCCAAAAUCUCCAGAGUGGCUACCAAAAUGCCAAGCAUAACUGUCACGUUCCCCACGACCAAUCCCAUCUGCAGAUGGAGGGACCAGGCGGUGGUGGAGCUGGGGCCCCAAAGCACACUGGCUGGUCACACUUGUGCCUGCUGCCCUGCCCUCCUCCUAGGGGCAGACUCUGGGGCUGGCCUGAAGAAGGGCUGGAGAAAAUGAUUCUUAUUCUCUGGCAGGUAUAUUUUCCCCAAGCACCUGGAUUUUAAAGGGGCAGAUGCUGCCUUUUUGAAGCAUGAGACAAAGAUCAAGUAGAUGAAUCUCAGGGGUGGUUUCCUGCUUUCCAUUUCCUUUGAAGUUACUGGGAAUAAUGGGGUUAGGAUCUGUGGGUUAGGGUAUGGGGAAGCCCCCCAGGUUGAGGCACUGAGGCCUGGGGUGGAGCCACAGAGAGGGGCCUGGCCCAGCUUUGGGGCCUCUUCACAUUGGACAUUUCCCCCUCAGGCUCCUGCCAAAGCCCUGAUUUUUUGUUUUACUUUCCCCCCUCCUUGCUCUUUAUUUCUGAAAUUUCUAUUUGAAGCUAAGAGAUUUCUUCCAUCUAAACUCAAGACAGCUACAGUAAGCCAGGAUUAACUCUCCCUUCAACCUUUGAGAAAUGGUCUCAGGAUAGGGGCAAGGAUGUUUAGUUUGCCAGGGAGUAAUAAGCAUCUGAGGUUACUCAUCAGUCCCUUAGGUGAAAACCCAGGAGGCUGCCAGAACCAGCCAGCACCUCCUGUCCUGGCCCUCAGGUUGCUCAUGGCUCAAAUGAUAGUGUUUUCUUUGCCCCUCAAGGUCUGACAGGCAUUGCUUGUCUUCUAUUUCCUAGUUGCAAGGUAUUUUUUUCAAUUUGGAACAUGUGUUCUAAUUUGAAAACGAAUGAGUUUUCUUCAGUAAAACUUGCCACCUUUCAAAGAGGUUUGCUCUAACCCAAGCUUAGACACUAGUGGCCAGAGCCAGAGGUUUGGGUGGAGAUGGGCCUGCUGGCUGUGUGCCCCCACUUUGGACUCCACCAUCUUUGGGCCCACCAUGGCCUGGUUAUGACACACACAUGGCCUUGCCCACCACGGAUCUGGAGCCACUUCUGCCAAAGACUGGAGGAAUAAGAAAAGCCAGUCCAGCCUGUUGGAUCAGUAACACAGAUAAGCAAGAGUAAGAAAGCUGUCCGUUCCUGAGUAAAAACACCAAAGCUCCACAACCCCCUGUACCUUCACAACACUGCAGAGUAAGCCAUGGCCCCCAAUUGUACCCCGAGGAUGCUGCUGCCCUAGGUAGCAACACUGCCAGCAGCCUCUACCCAAGGUAGAAAUGACUGUCAUCUACUCGUUUCAGGAGAGCAACGGGGUCCCCCAAGAAAUUAAGGUCUUUUUCAAAAUAGCAUUCUGGGGUCCCUUUUUGAACCUCUGUAGCUGUCAAUUCUACAUGGCUCUGCGGGGCUGGGAUGAAGCCCGGUGGGAUUAAGGAGACUUGGAGAUGUUUUAGAAUAAGCAGCUUCCGACUAUUAGUAACUUCACACCUACGGCUAAGGCUCAACCCUCCCUGCCCCCUUUCUUAGCCCAAAAGGACAUGAUCAUUCUGUUGUGGGUGUGAAGCAGCAGGUGCACCCAUCUGUGCUUCUACACAGAAUAGGACCACACACCCUCUCCAUCCCCACCAAGCCCCCGAAGGAAGUGUAUGACUCAUGGAUGCCUAUAGAAGUGUUAUCAGCCUGCGCACACAUGUGUGUGCCUGUACAUGUGUAUGUGUGUCUACAAACACAUGUAGAUGCAUAUCCUCUCUUCCUACUGAUUCUGCUCCACAAAUUUUUGCCAAAUCUGAUAACCAUGCUUUUUCAGUUCUGUCCCAUCCAGGUCUUCAGGUACAUGACUUUCAAAAAUCAUAAGAACAAAAGUCAACUUAUUUAACCUCGACAGUUAUAGGCUAGAGAGCCACUGUUUCCAGCUGUCCUUGUUGGCCCAGACCUCUCCAGGGUAUCCCCCUCCCAGAGUUCCCCAGAACCACACCGUCAACCAGCACGCACGGCAGGACAGCCAGCUCCCAGGGUUCCUUCUGGGUUGUGUUAUAAAGUCUGGCAGAGACAUCAACACAUGUCAACAUGUUCCUUUUGGUGACAUGUUUGUCUUUUCCUUGUUAGCUUUGGUUCAAGGCUGUAAAUCCAUAAGAGGAAGCGGUUUCCAAGCCUAAGCAAAAAGUGAGCAGAUGCACUUCAUGGACUUUGGGGUUUCUCUGUGCAGAUCUUCCCCUCCAUCACUUACCUCCCCAUUAUUUUUCUUAGAAAUCCAAAUAAAAAGGAUAUUUGGUGAUCAAAGUGAAUUCAACAGGCAGGGCAUGAAUGGAUACAAACCACCAAGCUCCCAGUGAGCUAUGUCUAUGGUCAGAUGUUGAUGAGAUCCAUCCUGGUCCCCAUAUUUGUUGCCUCUGAAGGGAUUGGAUCCUUCUCUCUGCUUUUUCAUCUGAGCCUCUGCAGUUCUCUUGUUCUUUGCUCUGUUCUGUCUCUGCUCUGGUUUGAACCCUGCUAUGUCAGCUCUCUUGUCUCCUUUUUAUUAUUCAAACCGUCUUUGAGCUGUUGGCAUUAGUUCUGCAGGGUGCCUGGGAGGGAAUUCUGAAAGCUCCAAAAUGGUCCCCCUCUACCUCCAGUGGAAGAGGAGGACCCAGGAAACCCAGCAAAACAAGUCCGGUUUUAUUGGUUCUUCCUCUGAGUAAAAAACUGCUCAAGUUUUGAACAAAUUCGUAUACAGCAUAAACACUUAUCCAGAGUUAAAUCUAAAUCCAUCCAGGCAGUUUCAUGUUGACAAAAGGUAAGGAUUUACCAUGUUAGGGUAUCCAAAAGAAUUUGCCAUAGACUCUGAAGAAAUUUAAAGCAGAAGACUGCACAUGGCAGGGAAGAGCAUGUGACACAGGUGACCAGGUUCUGACCCACAACUGAUUCUGGGCACCUGUGAACAAGUUACUACAUCACUGUGGCUUCGUAAAGUGGCAGCCCACCCCAUACCUUCCCCUGACUAUUCGAGUCAUAUGACAAAUAGUUCAUACCAUGAACGGAGCUGUGGAUGGUGUAGAGAUGCCCUGGUUCCAAAUGACCAUGAGUCAGAAGAGCCUCAAAGUCUGAAGCACAGGCUGCAGAGCAGACCGAUCAGGCAUCCAUUCCAGCCCCUGACUGUGUGGUGCCCUGGACCUGCACUCCCUCAUUUGGAAGAUGGAAAACACUACCUACCUCAGGACUUGCUGGUCUUAAGAGAAUCCAAAAACAGUGCAGAAGAGGCCUUACCCACCCACCUUUGGCCCUGAUGGUGAGAGACAUGCUCCAAAGAACAGGAAGGAAACCAUCACUUUCACAACUGACUUUGUGUAGCUCCCAGCAAGGACAUCAGAAGAGGUGACCCACAUUGCAAGAAUGAAAUGGAGGAGCCAGCCUGCCAGGGGACGCCACUCACCUGUCACCAGAUCCUAUGCUCUUGUGACACCUGUUUUCCCUAGAAAUAAUUCCUACCAUUGGUGAAGCUCCUCAAGUUCCCAUGGCCUAGGGCAGGACCUGUACCAUGUGCCAAAUUCUGUGCUGCUGCUUCUGCGAAGGACACAAGAACAGCACAUGCUUGGGGAUUGCCCUUCCUGGAGGAGAUGGCACAGGAGCAGCUGGAUAGGACAGUGAAGGGCCUGCAGUGUGGCUGGAGCUCUGUGUGUGUUCCCCAGGGUGGAUGGGGAACCCCAGGAACUGGAAACAGGCCAGGAGAAGAGAUGACACUCAGAGAUAUGACUUAAGUAUAAGGCUGUGACAAAAUGAGAAACUGGAGCCAGGGAUUUAUCUCAGUGGUUCCACUGCCUGCCUCGCAAGCACAAGGUCCCGAGUUAGAUCCCUGGUACCAAAAAACCAAAAACAAACCAAAAAAAUGAACCGAAUAGAACCUCUUAGAAGGAGUAAAAAUAGCCGAAAGAGUUCAACGUAUCUGGCCAUUAGAGGGAAUACAAAUUAAAAUAAUAUUGAUAUUCCAUCUUGCCCCAGAAAGAAUGGCCAUCAUCAAUAAAUCAAUAACAAAUGCUGAUGGGGGGUGGUGGUAAAGGAAUUCUUCCUACACUGUUGGUGAGAAUGUAAACUGGUACAACCACUAAUGGAAGUCAGCAUGGAGAUUCCUCAAAAAACUGAAACUUGAAAUUCCAUUCCACUCAGUUAUUUCCCUUCUAAGCAUCUUCCAGAGAGAGUCAUCAUACUACAGUGAUAUAUACACACCCAUGAUUACAGCACCAUAGCUCACAGUAGCUAAAUCUUGGAAGCAGCCUAUAUGUUCAUCAACAGAUGAAUGGUCCUGCAGGUAGCUGCGAGCAGCUGAAGGUUUUGGAAUGUGAUGUCAGGAUUUGAUUUCUAUCUUGGAGCAGUUUUGGAAAUGGACCACAAAUCAACGAAAUAACUGACCCACCAGCUUGGGAGUAGAGACAGGAGUUAUGGUGCCCUUUAAGCCCAGCCCCUCGGCGGCCACAGCCUGAGAACCUAUAGGGUUUGAAAAGUCCUUAUACAAGUUCACAGUUCCUCUGAGCUAAAAAAUAAAUUCAGAAUAAAACAGAUCACAGUUGUCUGACAUUUCUAAAAUUCUCCUUAUCUGGUGUCACGGGGUCUGCCCGGAUGGAGAAGGGGCAGAGAGGCUGUCUGCACCCUGGAGUGGAGGGAAUGGGAAGGCAGCAGCGGGUGGCAGAGGAUCUGGUCACAGUUGCCCAGUUUCCUCUUUGCUGUCUCUGAGAACCAUUGUUUUGUGGCCUGGGUCUAAAACAGAGACAGAUCUGCGAUUGUGCCAAGAAAAACUCCCUGGGCCAGCUCUGAGACUACUGCACACACGGGCGUGGACCAGUGCAAGUGUGUUUCAAAAGCAAACAGUGGUGUGCAGUCCCUCACACGCGGGCAAAGCGAUUGACCAUGACUUGUGGGGUCACGGGCUCCUCCAAUGCCCUUCAACCCGAACUCACAAUUGGUCGUCCUAGGAAACAGAAGCCAGGGGGGCUCCCAGUUACCCCUCACUCAAUUCUGCUGGGAAGACUGACAAUCGAGGAGAUUAGAGCCGCUCUGCAAGCCCAGAAGGGGUGGAGCCGAUGCUGGGGCCAGGGGUCGUGUUUUGGGGUCAGAGGCCUGGGAGCUUCUGCCAUCGACCCCUGCCUGAAGGUUCAAGUUUGAUCUGUCAUUUGCAAAUGCCUGUGUCAGAUAAUUCAUCUCCUGUGGCCACAGCACAGUGUGACUUGGCUGGAGGAACGAAGCAUCGUGGAGAAAAGCAGCACCCAGGACAUCACAGAAAACUUUAAAAGAUUCCAAGACGGGCCCUGCCCUAGGCAGAGACAGCAGAGGUCAAAAAUUCACUCCAGGCCUGCUGGGGACUAGGAGCCUGGGGAUAGAACGUGGCUCUUCCCCAAGAUAGGGUCCCCAUCUGGGGCACUCAGACACCCUGGACCAGCCCGGUCCACCCCAUAGCUUCCCACCCAACCCAGCAUCGACCUGGUCACCCUGCCUCAGAUGAGAGAAUGGAGUUGACAGCCAGGGGUGGGGCAUGUGGACUGUGGAUGCAGAACCGAGGAACAGAGAUGGAAACAUGUCAGCUGCCCAGGGGCUGUGGCGGAGGUAUCCACAGAAGGCCACCAGGGAGAGCAGCCAAGUGCCACUUGGCUCUUUGCAGAGAGCACUGCAGCGGCCACAUGUGCUGAAACUUGGGAGGGAGGCGAGCUCUGUGAGCACCACAGCAUCACCCACUGGACACCUGGUCCUGCCCUCCUGGAUCCCCUCUGCCUGGGCCCUCUCCUCACACACAGCCAUGUGAGCUCCCAGACAGAUAUAAUAUUGCACGUGCAAUGUUAUGUGACACACAGGCCAUCACAACCCGACCAACCAGCCCAUCGUGAGUGACACGCGUAGUCCGAUAAUGCCCUUGUGCACAGCACAAUCAAGACCCUUGAACCUGGCUCUGUGACGUGAGUGUUCCCACCCGGUAUGCUGAGGUCCCUUAUGGCAGGGUCCCUUGAGAGCUCUGCCCUCACCUCCAUUUCCAAACAGGUUCCUGGUGGGAGGGGUGUCCCAGUGGGCAUGUGCAGCACCAUGUGUAGUUCUUGAACCCAGGCCACCCACACAGCCCAAUGGGCAGAUCCCAGAAGACAUCCCCAUAUAGCAAGGAUGGGUUCACAUUGAGGAUGACGGCAGGACCAGUCUCGGGGUCUCCCCUAGGUGCCGUGGGCCCACCUGUCUCCCCUCUUGACUGCUCACCUCCCCACCACCACCUGCUGGUCACAGUAGCAGAGGCAGACCCCCUCAGUGUCACCACAGCCCACACUCAGGUAGGUGCCGGCAGCUGCAGCCCUGCUCUGUGAACUGCUGAUUCCUAACGCUCCUGCCCUUUGAUAUCCCUGGAGGUUUACAGAUAAAAAGUCCCCAGAGUGUUGGAAGGCUCAAAGAUCUGUGGCAUUCAAGCCAACCACUCAGACCACAAAUCUGAAUUUGUGGAUCACCCAAGCAUCACCACCACCCUGGAGUCUCUCCCUGUCCUCCCAUGACUGCCACACCUCCCAGUAGUCUGGAUGCUGCAUCUGUUUGCAUCCAAGACGACCCUCAGGGUGUCGCCUGUCUUUUUCACUCCUCAGCAAACAUUGAUAGAGCCUGGCACAUUAUGCCUGUUCAAUGUAUUCUGGGCCCCAAGACUCGGGUUAAUAAAACUGCCAGUCCCUGGCCUCCUAGGUCUUAUAUUCGGGUGGGGAGAAAGACAUAAACAAACAGCUAAUGGAGUGUGAUGAGCACUAAAGAUAAAAAUAAAACCAACAGGAUGGAGAAGUGACAGGGUGGGCAGCAGCAUGGGGACUUUGAAGGGCUGUCAGAAAAGCCCCUGUGUAGGGGAAGCAGCAGGGGGUGCCUCUCAGGGACAGUGGGCCAGGAGGCCUCGAACCUUUGCAGAAAACAGACUCCAUUCCCUCAGCAAUGAAAUUGAAUAAAUAGCAAUAAGAUCUCCAAUCCCUUAUGUUAUCACACUUGGCCAUAUCAUGUGCCUGUCCAUCCAUUUCUGCAUUCACUCCUCAUAACUCCCUGGCUAUCAUUCACACAAGAUGCUGAAGCAGAGGUCCAAAGAUGGGAAGGGGCCUUCCCAAGGCCGUACAGAGAAAAGCCAGUGGCAGGACUAGAUUAUUGGGACGUCUCUUUCCCAGCUAUGUGCUCCCUAGGAAAAUGGGUCAUGCUGGAUGACUCUACUAUAUUCUGCUGAACAUUCCUACCCCAGGUGCCUGAUUAGAACUGAGAAAAGCCCAUUGUGAGCAGCCCCGAUUCCCUCCAGUCUGACUCCAAUAUAGCUACAUGGUUACUGGUGGGGGGAUUAGUGGAGGACAUAGCUACCCCACUCUUAGAUCGUAGGAGCUGAAGCCAGCAAAAAAGAGCUAGAGAGCAGUGUGUGAACUCUGUGUACCAUAUUUGGCUGUCACUGCUGCAUACAUAUCUACUCACCCUUGCCCACCUUUGUGUGUUUGAGUGAAUUUCUUCUGGACUAUUGACAUAUAGAUCCCAAAUUUGCUCAUAUCGACAGACUCUAAGGUAGGAAAUCUCCAGUUUCAUAUGAGUUUAGUCAAAUCUAUUUUCCUUUAUGACCUCAGUUUCUCUUGUGAAAUGAACAUUUUGAAUUAGAUGGCCUGUGAGUUUCUGGCAUCCUACAAUUCUACAUGUGUAAACAUGUACGAUUGGUUGGGGACCCAAAGUAAGCCCUACUGUGAGGUGCUGUAUCAUACCUGGCUGGAGACUUCUGAGUCAUUGUCUCAACAAAGAUGUUUUUCCCAAAACAGAGCUUCCCGUGGUACAGAGUCCACUUGUUUCUUCAAAAUCCGCAGCAGUUGCUCAUUGCAAAACCAAGGCAGGGCAAAGCCUUCAGGAUGCGAAUGGGAACAAAAAGGAUGCAGGAAGGAACAAGAAAGCAAGAGGAGGAGAAAGAGAAAGGCAAAGUGAAGAAAAAAGUGGUGGGUGGAAGGGAUGCAGUGACAGGCUCAGGGACAGGAAAUGUCUUAGUAAAAGAUUUCCAGAGUUUUGUAAUCUGUUUCUUGUAUAAGGCAUACGGGCUUCAUUAAUAAGAAGGUGGGUGGGUGCCUUAGUUAUUUUUCUCAUUGCUGGGACAAAAAAUGCCCAACACUCACAAGUUAAGGGGAGAAAGGUUCAUUUAGCUAAGUUUGUAGAGGUUUCAGUCUAUCAGAUGGCUCCAAGGCAGGGUGGCACAGCAGACAGGCAUCGCAGAAGAGAAACAGUUCAUGGUGGGCAGAAGGUAGCAAAGCAAGCAGGUGGCGACCACAGCUCUUUCCUUCCAUUAUGUCUUAUCCAGGCUACUUAGGGUGAGUAGCACUCACACCAUGAAUCAAUCCUAGCAUCACAUUCUAGAUCCAGCCACCUGUGAAAAGCCCCAUGUAUGACUGCACGAGCCUUUAGGGGAACAUCUAGACACAAACCAUAACUCUGUGUGUGUGUUGCUGCAAGUAUUAAUCACAUUGGUGACAAGCAGAUGAAAUCGGCUGGGUGUGCCACAUGCAUAAUCUUUCCUCAAACUGGAACCCGUAUAUUCAUCCUUCAUGGGCUGAUAUCCAGGAACACUUGCCUCUCAUGCUUACCACUUAUUCUGGAUGAACCCCCAAAUUCUCUUACCCAACCCUAUCACUGAUUACUCCCUCUCUUAGAGGAGGAAGUGUUUUCUUCUCCCAGCCAAUUUCAGCCAAAGAAAAAUCUUAGUUCAGGUUCUUUGUGUUGCUCCACUUUCUUCUUUCUAGUUCUUUCCCCCAUCACACACAUAAGUCCUUCUAGUUUUCACCUUCACCCUUUCCUAGAGUAUCCUAGUCAUUCAGAAAUAACCUUUAAAAGGCGGGGUACUUGUGUCCCAAAGAGACCCAAAGACUUGCUGGAGGAAUAAUGUAAGGGAAAUCCUCUUCUAGAUCCUCAACAUCCACAAACACUAGUAUGCUCAGGCCUGUCAGACAAAGUGGUGUCUAUGUGCAAGUAAGGCAGGGGAACACUGAGGGAGCAUUACUGCCAGAGAUAAAGUAAUGGAAGACUGUGCUGUAAUCGGAAUCGGAGGCCGCUGUGCCCUCAGAGAUGUUGGGAGACAUGGUCACAGAGCUCAAAAGACUGGAAGCCAGCAGAAGAUAAACCUGUGGCCAGCCGACCUUAGGUCCCACCUCCCCAUGUCUGUGCCAUUGCAUAGUCCUCUCCCUUUGGGAAUGUGAGCACCUAUGGCCAGCCCUAACCAAAGGAACAUGGCAAAAGUCACUUCACAAGCCACUCUGGUACACAAGGCUUUGGAAGGACCAGUCCUUGGGUCUCCCUUUCUCUCACCUCCACUGUCAGGGAAAUUGCAGGGAGUUUCUAGGAGCCCAGGCUAGUCUCAGACUUGCAAUGCUUGGAAAGAGAUUCUGCUAGCAAUCCCUGUGAAUCCAGGGGCUCCUUCCCAUUGAUCCCCUGAGGAGAUCACAGGCCUGACUGGUGUUCUGCCCACAGCUAGCAGAGAACCAAGCUCUUCUGUGCCCCAACUUCUGACUCACAGAAACUGAGAGUGUAGAUGGGAGUCGUUUAAGUCACUAAGUUCAUGGCAUCUGUUACACAGCAGUACAAAACUUAAGCAGCUGGAGAUGGUGGGGAGGCUGGGCUGAGGAGCACAGGUUUUAUCACAUAGGCCACCAGGAACCAGGCUUGCUCUCAGCAAGGAAAAGCCACAGAAGUAAGUUUGGGGACAGUCACUCUGACCGCAGGGCAGGAGGAAACUCGAGAACAAGGUGGAAGCCUUUUAUCUUCCAGGAAGUCAGGGAUACACCAGUGAGCAUGAGGCCUCAGACCCAGCAAAGCCAUUCAACCUGUAUUUACUGACUAUUUACAGGGUGUGGUGUUCAGGGGAGAGGAAUACGGGGAGAAUGACCCAGCAUGUUCCCUGCCUUCUGAAAUGUUAGGGUAGGUUCAGAAAUGUGUAUUUAAGCAGGCAAAACUUGGUUGGUUGGCUCUGUUUCUUUUCCAUUUGACAGUGUAGGACACUGCCCAGAAGGGAUGGAUCGAAGCCUCUUCCUGGGGGCAGAGGGCUCCUGCGUGGGGUAACGCUGAGGUCCAUCCUGAAGGAUGAGCCAGGACUGCACAGGCAGGGGUAGGAUUUCAUGGCCCUCCAAUGAUUGCUUGGUGUGAGAGAAAACUCGAGUUGGUUAGAAAGCAAGCCUAGAGCUGGGAAUCUUGGAAAAAGAGCUCUUUUUCCCUUCUCAUCUGCCUGGAGUGCUGAGUACUUCCGUGAUCUGUUAAAGAAGGAUCCACAGGAGAGCUGAGGUGCACUGGUUAUGAAGGAGAGAAGGACUUAACUGAGUUACCAGGAUGACUUAGAUAAGGACGAAGCUGCAGAGAGAACCUUUGUUUGGGGAGCACCCAAGAGCCAAGAAUGUGGCAGAGAGUUAGGGAGGGGGGUGUAGAGAAGACCAUCUGCUGUUAGAGAGUAUCGAGAAAUUGGAAAGUUAUUUUGGGACCAAAUGUGUACCUCAAAAGACAUGAUCAAUUCCAUUCUAACCCUGAUGUUUUUGGCCCACCCAGGAUCCCAGUACUGCCUAUUUAUCUCCUUUGAAUCGCUUCCUGUUAUUUGGGAUAAAAUCCACGCCCCCCCCCCCAUCAUCAUACACAAGGCACCACCCCUUCCAGCCUCUGCUCCCCUCUUUGUCCCCCCUGUUCUCCCCCUCUCCCCCCGCCCUUCCCCCAAUUUACACCCCCAGGCUCCCAGUGUUCUGGCCUCUUUCUCAGUUCACUCAGUUUCUUCUGUCCCUGGGUCUUUUCCAUACAUUAGGCUUGGGGGGGACACAGGCAGGUGAGGGCACAUUCCAGGCAGAACUCCUUGACCUCACCCCAGUUUGAGCUCCCCUCCUUCGCCUGCUCCCAACCUGAAUCCUGUCCUUUCUCUUUCAAAUAAAGCAUUGAUCCUACUGUACCUCUUGGAUGUCCUGCUGAAUUCUUUGUUUGGGACAAGACCCCAGGCCAGCAAUUCACCCUCUGUUGAAGUAGAACCCAGGGUAGAUGGCAGGGUAACGAUGUAACACUGGUGCCUCUGCCACUGACACAAGUGGACACCGCUAACUGAGAGCAAGGAAAAUACUCCAGCCAGCCCUCAGGACAAGGCGGGCAUCGUCACAGCGGGGCUGAACUGCACCCACUUCCAGCAACUCAUGACUCUCAAAAACGCAGCAUUGGAAGCAGGAAGAACUGGCUUGGCGUCCCUCUCUCCAGAGCCACUUUUUCUGCGGCACUGCUCCAGCACUCCUGGUAAGGAUGGGUGGAAACUGCAGAAAGCAAGAUCCAGCCAGCUGUUGGCCCUCCCUGCACCGCCCAGAGCAUCCCUCUCCUGUCCCAUGGGCCUAUCUGAUGGAAAGUUGGCCCAUCUUUGCCACAGUAAGUAAAAACCAGCACCCGGACAGCUGCAGGAGGAAGCACCUGCCUGGAGACCCCACCUGGGCUGCCAAGGCCCCGGACCCCACGUGAGUGUCUUCCCAGUUCUCAGUCCCUUCUCCCUUCUGCAGGGUAACUACUCUCCUAAAUUUGAUGGGCUUUUUGAGCUUUAUCUUUUCCUACUAUCUGGAUAGAGACAGAUGAUAGAUAGACAUAUACAUAGAUAUAUGUAGUGAUAUGUUAUUAAGUUGUAUAUGAGUCUUGAACCUUGUAUAAGUGGGAUUUUACUAUACACAUUCUGCAUGUUGGGAGAUUCAUCUGUGUUGAUAGGUGGGGAAGAAAGCAUCCUUUUCAGUACCAUAUAGUAUUCUAAUAUUCAGCAGCUACAGAAUCAGUAGGCAUCACAAUCCUGGAAGGGGCAGGAACCCCAGAAUCAUCCUCUCCUCUGCUCCCUCUCAGGAGAAAUGAAGACCCAGGAGGCUGUGCCAUAGGCUGUGCUGGAGCCCUGGCCCUGUGCAUUACGGAACUGUAGCCAGCCAGCUUGUGGGACAGGGUGACACCUUUCUAUCCCUGGACAUCAGAUGCCAAGAGCAGGUGCUCAUCACGGUCUAAGAAAAAGAGUUAAAAGUUGUCCAAGAAUCACCUGAUUGGGGAAUUCACUGAGGGUUACUCUAAUGUCCAGCCAAAGCCAGCAGUGACUGACACUUCAUAGUUUCCAGUGGGCUCAGUCCAUGGCCUGCUGGCUCCAAGGCAGAGACAACAUGGUGGAAGGGCUUGGUGGAGGAAAAUUGCUCAUGGUGGCCAGGAAACAGACAGGAGGAGCCUGAGAUGUGAACAUACCCUUCCACCUCACAACCCAAUGACUCACCCCUUCCUACCAGACCCCACCUCCAAAAGUGAGGCUUUUGGGGACAUCUUAGAUGUAAACUAUAACAACCUGGGACCUCAUGGCUGGAGAGUGUCCCCGUUCUUAGGGAACCAAGACAUGUCACCCAAGGUUGGGGCAGUCUGGAGACUCGGGACUCUUUCCCCACGUUCAGAUCCACCCCUUCAUCCCAUCCACAGUGUCCCUGUCAACCACCAAGACCAAUGGUGGGUUCUGAGAAGAAGGUGAUGGAGGUGUGACCUGAUUUCUCAGUGGCUGUUGGGGUUGAGAGACAGGGAGAGCCAUGAGGAGACCGCUGGGGCGACUCGUGGGAUGGAACAGUGGGGAUUGUGAGAAGUCUUACUUGGGUGCUCAUUUAAGGCAGGGCCAACAGGCUGUCCUGGCAGACUGGACCUGGAGGGUGAGAGGAAGGAGAAAGCCAGUGCAGUUCCAAUGGAUUUGUCGCACCUUGGAGAAGGCAGCUGCUGUUGGAAGAGAACCCCCCCCCCGCCUUGAAGUGGGAGGGACUGAACCAAGAAUGUGUCCACCAGCAAGGCCAUCUUCUGCCUCUGCUCUAUCCUCCCAGGCUUCGGGUCUCUCUGUUCAAUAAGGGAAAUAAGACCCAACUGAUUGCUUACGGAAACACCAGACCUUAUUACAAAUGAACACUUUCCCCAGAGCUCUCAUGUCCGGAAGUCAGACACGUUUACUCUGGGGCAGCUGCCAACAUAUCUUUGGAAUCCUUUUCUAGGGAUUGAGUUGAUUUAUGGCCCAUCCAAGAAAAAUCAGUCUUAUCGUUUCUCUCCAGAAGGUCAGUUGAAACAUUUACUGUGUAAAUCAGACCUGACUCUUCCAAACAUUGAAACUUUUUUCCCCAGGAUGACCAUCUGCCACCAUGCAGAAUAAGCAAAUCUCCAGCUGUGGCCAUCUCAUUGGAAAACCAACUAUGAUUCCAGGCAGGAUGAAUUUUCCUCUGUACUCCAGCACCCACGGGUGGCAGUGAGGACCCUUGCUCUCCUGAGCUCCAGCUCCCCUGCCCUUGACACUGGGCGAGAGGCAGAGUGAGGGCUUCGUGACAGCCCAGCACUCACCUGGCUAGAAAGACCGUAUGAUCUGGCUUUAAAACAGUGUCACUUUGUCAUUUAUGAUCCACAAGGCUUUCUCUUAGCAUCUCUUUCAUCAUUCUAGAGGUGAGAAAACCCUCUGAACCCAGUUUGCUCAUUCGUGAAAGGUGGCCAAUGACGAUUGUAUCCUUCUCCCAGGACAGUUUGGAAGAGGAACACACUACUGCCAACAAAGAACCUCACACACUGUGCAGGCAGCUCUUGAGCGACCUGGACACAUUGCUGUCCUCCACCCUCACGUGGGAUCAUGGUCACUAGACCACGGCGCACCUUUUGCUUUUCCUGGAGGAACACACUUUCUGGCUCCAGCUGAUACUGUGCUGUCUUCCUCACCCUCGUCUGGUUUUCCCCAGAUCCCCUCUGAGCACCUCUGUAGCUUGGAUGGUUGUGGGGUUGGGUGGCCACCUUGCCAUGUCUCCCCUCCUCUGAGGGCAGGCAGGUGGCCCUCCUGCCCAAGCCAGCACCCCAAAUUAUCAGCCACCUCUGUUUCCUCCACAUCUGCCAAGCAGUUGUCAGCUGCUGCCUGGAUUUUUCUCCACGGAACAGCACAGACUUUGCAGCACAAGGUGGGACCCUGGGCUGGCCCUACACGAGGGGCCAUGAGACCUGUCCGUCAAGCCUCAGAGUCCUCCCUCUCCAUCGAGUUUUCCAUUGACCUGAGAAAUGGCCAUCGGCUGCUGCCGGGGGACUUUUCUUCCUUCAAGAGAAUUUUAGAGACAUUUUAACACGGGGGCUUCUGAAAUCCAUGAUUCAUGCUUAAAAUCUGAUUCACUAGUAGAUCGGUUGUGUGAAAUGAGUUUGGGCCAAAAUGUCUUCUAGAAGGACACACGCAUGCAUGCAUACACACAUAGAUUAAAGAAUCGCCUUCCAUUCGCUCCUUGGAAUACAAGUUAGGGUGGACCCUCAAGACAGCUUGAGGAUCUCCUCCAUCCCCUUCUUUCCUUCCUUCCCCUCCUCCCCUAACCCUUAAAGAAGAUCCACAUACCCCAGUUGAUCUGCUCAUUGUCCAAAUUAGAUGAGAAAAUGGAUUUAAAAGUUCCUUGCUCUGUGCCGGUCCCUAAUAGUCACUUUAUUAAUGAUUGGUUAAUUGUUUUCCAUCCCUCACAUCUGCACACCAAAACACCGAAGGUGGAAUCUCUGGGCCGUGAAUGUCCUUGUUGUACAUAUCCUUCAUCCCAUCUCGGCCCAGCUGCAACAGCCCAGCCGUGCCUGUCUUUGUUUCUGAGUCUCUGGACUUUGUAGAAACUUCCAACCCCUCGACUUGACAAAUGACUUUCUAAGUGGAGGGGGUUUUACAUUUAAUAUGCAUCAUGAGAAACAUCAGAGCUAUGCUCAGGAGAUCAAAUGGUUUCUUCAGCUAAGAAUGUAAGCAUUAUCCCUAUUAAUAUCUUUCCAACAAAGGCCCAGGCUCCCCAUCCCCGACAACUCUAUGAUCUCAGUUUAUUAACAUUGCCAGUCUCCCCCACUUGCUGCCCCUGCUGCAGACUGGGUCACAGUCUAAGGUCCACCCUCCACACACACACUGCCUUGGCAGGGCUGCACAGGGGAAAAAACUCUCUGUCAUCAUAAAUCAUAAAAUCAAACAACCAAACGCCAUCUCCGGGGAAAUAAAUUCUGAAGAGCUAAGGAGGGAAAAGGGGGGGCUAUGAUUAUUUUAAUCCUAUUCCAGAUGCUCUGGUCUGCUCCCUAAACAAAACCUGAAUUAAUUGCAAGCCUUAGUCAAAGAGAUAAUAGCUGCAUGCGGGUGUAGGCAAUGUUGGGCAAGGAAUAGUUGCUCAGUUAAUGUUUAUGUAAAAAUAAAUGAGUGUAAAUGCACAAGAGUUCUGUGGACGCCGCCUUUGCCAGACAAGAUGGCUCAUUGUGACAGAGUUCCCCACAGCGUCCCUACCCAGUGACCUGGGUGCUCUGCUUUUCAAAAGCACCUUCAUACUUACUAGCUAGUUUGACUCGAGCAGCAAUCGAAGCUUGCACUUGGCCUUGGGAGAAUGCACUUCUGUAAAAGCCUCAAAGAGUGGACUGAGGUGACACUUGCACGCAGAAGCGUGCACACACACACACAUGCACGCGUGGAGGAAAAGCUGUUCUCAUAAGAAUUUUGAACCAUUGAAAGAUGUCAAAACCUCUGUGAGUACACAAAGGCAUACUGAUUCUUUACCAAAACCGGAAUGAAUUAAAAUCACUUACACUCUUCUUUACCACCCCUCAAAAGUGUCGUCGAGGAUGGACACUUUGGCUCCAAAGGGCAAAAGGGCCACAGAAGCGCCCUGGUGUUCAGCCACCCAAUCCUGAAACCAAUGACAAAAUGAAGGGCUCCCUGGGCCUCCUCUUAUGCAUUACAAGAUGGGAAGGAGAUGCCUGGCGCUACCCUACAUGCCAGGAUUCUUGGGUGAAUAAAAGCAGACAAGGUAAAAAAGAUCUCAGAAGAGCAGAAAUGGAAGAACAGUAGGGGAAGGACAGACAGCAUGGGGUGAGCCAGGGUGCUUGGUGCCAAAAUGGCACCAGGUGACAGGAGUAACAACACCCAGGUCGUCUUGGUUCUGGUUUGUGGUCCCAGACGGCUUGCUGCAGGAUCGGGCAUUCUGUGGGGCCAGAGCCUAGGCUAUCUGGAAGACCCCAGAGCUGGGAGGCCACCAGCUGAGUGACCUGGAGCUGACCCGUGUCUCCCAGCUCCUCCACUCCCUUCCGGGUCCAGGGCUCACACCUUUGCCUCCUGGAGGCCACGUAAGAAGCAGGCAGGUGCUGGGGCCUGGCACACAGAGAGGCUGCCCAGAUGUGGCCUUCACUCCCAAGACCCUCUGGGGGCAGGGGCUUCCUCACUGUUUCCAGUCUGCUCUUUUCUCAAAUUCUGCUUCAUCGCUCCGGGUUUCCUCCCACAGCCCUCUCUCUCUGUGGCCCAGCCCGGCCCGCCAGGAGCCUUGGAAAGUCGCGUUGUGCAGAGAAGCAGAUGGCUCUGCCUCCUCCUCCAUCCCCUGCUAAGUGGAUCUGGUGCCCUGAGGACUGCAGCCCUGGGGGAUGGCAGGGAGGGCACCUGGCCCACACACCUGCUCUGGAUCCUGAGGUCCACCAGCUGCUUCCCACUCAAAAGCAAGAAGCCAGUCCUGGGGCCUGGCCUCUACUGCAGCACUGCAUGCCACAUGUGCAUCCCUUGCUACCUUACUUAUUCAGUGGCAUCUGACAAGAAACUGCUACACCAAUCACCAAGCGCUAUGCCUACAUCAGAGGGGUCUCUGGAACUCUGCUGUCCAACAGGUCACUUCUAGACACAUGCAACUACACAAAUGUACAUGAGUCCGAUUAAAUUUAAGAUUCAGUUUCUGGCCAGGUGUGAUGGUGCAUGCCUAUAAUCUCAGCGCUCUGGGAGGCUGAGCCAGGAGGAUUGUAAAAGCCCAGCCAACUUAAUGAUUUAGCAAGACCCUGUCUCAAAAUUUGAGACAAAAAAUUUUACAGAUACAGGGCUGUAGCUCAAUGCAAAGGCCCUGGAUUCAAUGCCUAGUACUAGAGAAAAAAAGCUGUCAGUGAUAGUAGCCAUGUCUCAGGUGCUAAGGAGUCACCUGUGGCUGCUACAAAUAAGGGCCACGUCUGUCACCAGAGGAAGUCCUGCUGCACAGACUGCCUGUUAGGUGACCCUAGCAGGAAAGGUUGA
This 18979-nucleotide long non-coding RNA is filed under the name Heterocephalus glaber (naked mole-rat). RNAcentral's name for it is "lncRNA (ENSHGLG00100041902.1)". The record is from RNAcentral. Lineage: Eukaryota; Metazoa; Chordata; Mammalia; Rodentia; Bathyergidae.